UCUGUUCACCCUAUCAGGAGCAGGGCUGCAAAAACAUCGACCAAUGGGAGCCAUCCGUCCCGGACGGCUCCUAUUGGUCAAUCUCCUGCUCCGCCUCUCCAUCCAAUCACCUCGCUGUAUUCGACACACCCCUCUCCUGUAGUUCCGACUCGUCCGAAAAUGCAAGCCGACAGAAGAAAGGGGUGGAGUCAAAGAGGACAUGUGACCAAGCGAGGAAUCUAACGUGAAUAACCAUCGGGUCAUCCUUGGAGACGCUGAGACAGCAGAGUUUUAGUUGAACAGGUCAUUUUUAUCUCCUUUUAUCUCAUGUUACAUAAAUAACUCUGAUUAGUCUCUGACAUGUCAACACGGUAGCUGUCCAGGCAGCUGCAGACGGCGCUCGCUAGCAGAGCUGGCGUUUACUGCUGCUAGUCACUAACAAUCCAACAUGGUGAA
Molecule: non-coding RNA, 435 nt
Organism: Xyrichtys novacula (pearly razorfish)
Lineage: Eukaryota; Metazoa; Chordata; Actinopteri; Labriformes; Labridae
Source: the annotation of a GenBank genome assembly